UCGAGAAUUUUUCUCAAUGGGGGAAACCCUGAAGGAGCGACGCCGCGUGGGGGAUGAAUGGCUUCGGCCCGUAAACCCCUGUCAUUUGCGAUCAAACCUUGCGAUCUAACACAUCGUAAGCUGAUAGUAGCGAAAGAGGAAGGGACGGCUAACUCUGUGCCAGCAGCCGCGGUAAUACAGAGGUCCCAAGCGUUGUUCGGAUUCACUGGGCGUAAAGGGUGCGUAGGCGGUCGGGUAAGUCUAACGUGAA
RNAcentral lists this ribosomal RNA (250 nucleotides) under uncultured bacterium. Its description in RNAcentral is "partial 16S ribosomal RNA". It matches the Rfam family "Bacterial small subunit ribosomal RNA", at positions 355 to 598 of the family's 1533-position model. The record is from RNAcentral.